RNAcentral lists this long non-coding RNA (207 nucleotides) under Nicotiana benthamiana. Its description in RNAcentral is "long non-coding RNA (NBEN_LNC030150)". Lineage: Eukaryota; Viridiplantae; Streptophyta; Magnoliopsida; Solanales; Solanaceae. The record is from RNAcentral.
CCUUAUCUGUCGCGUCUUGCAAACCAUUCUAGAAUUGAAGGUCUUUGACCUAUUUUUCCAAUUUCCUUAUUGUGGCCCAAUAUUCAUUUUCUUUGGCUAACCAAUUCCAUUGUUCUUGUGACGCCUCAGUAACUUCCUGAAGAUGUGGUUUUUUUGUCGACCUUCCAAACUCCCCUUCCCUUUUAUACCAAGAAAGGUACCCCGAUG